This 860-nucleotide unclassified non-coding RNA is filed under the name Bombus terrestris (buff-tailed bumblebee). RNAcentral's name for it is "misc RNA ENSBTSG00005030933.1". The record is from RNAcentral. Lineage: Eukaryota; Metazoa; Arthropoda; Insecta; Hymenoptera; Apidae.
AAUAUUUAUGAUAAUAUGAUGCACUAUUCCUUUUUAAAUCAUGGGAAUUUCCUUUUGUGUCUUUUAUUCAUGCAGUGGGCUUCUGUAGAGUAUUCAUUAUUCCACAUAUUAACAAUACAUGAACCAUUUACAUUUUUCAGUAAUAUUGUAUUUACCUAACUUUUAUGCAUUAUUUCACUGCUUGAUCGUUAAUGGGUUAAACCGAAAGUUAACAACAUGUCCCUCAUGUCAUAUUAUUGGUAUCGUGAGAACAAUCGUGUCUAUUUUACACUUGCACCCGAAGAGGUCUGCCCUGAAGAACUUUUUUCCUGAUGUUAUGACUGCCAUUGUGUUUCCUGAUUUUUAAACUGUCAUACAGUAAACUUCUUGCCACAUAGUUUCCCGCGGAAUAAAAAGCAUGGUGUUCUCUAGAAUGUGCCAAUUAUCGUAGAAAUCGUGUCGAGUUCGAACAACCAAUCAGAACCGAAAUAGAAAAAAGCGAGGUCUAAAGGACGACUAAUCAGGAAGCGGAUAUGCGUUAAUUAAUUUUUACGAGUGAAUACAUAUUUGCGAACAAUUAUUUGUCAAAUGUGAUUUCUUUACUUUCGUUCUUUGACGUCAUAAUAUGUAUUUUCUAUAUCCAUCAAGCUUACGUGAUACGAAAAACGUAGAUAACUUUAUGUUUCUGUAUGAGCUGAUUUAUCGAAUGGGUACAAUUUUUAUUAUGCGGCACGAACUUUAAAUAAAUUAUAUAUGAAUUCGAAUUCAAGAAGAGUAUUAUUAAUGAGGUUACAUUUAAUAGUAAUUCCUUAGAAUUCACUAAUAUUGUGUCUAAAAUAUUGUUAUCCAUCUUUCUCUAUUAAUUGAUUACUUAAUCUUUU